Non-coding RNA from Triticum aestivum (bread wheat), 132 nucleotides. NCBI's taxonomy places the organism in Eukaryota, Viridiplantae, Streptophyta, Magnoliopsida, Poales, Poaceae. The record is from Rfam.
AUCAUACUACCUCUGAUCCAUAUUACUUGUCUUAGAUUUGUCUAGAUACGGAUGUAUCUAACACUAAAACGUGUCUAGAUACAUCCGUAUCUAGACAAAUCUAAGACCAAUAUGGAUCGGAGGGAGUAGUUA